GCAAACUUGGUCAUUUAGAGGAAGUAAAAGUCGUAACAAGGUUUCCGUAGGUGAACCUGCGGAAGGAUCAUUAACGAGUUUUGAAACGGGUUGUAGCUGGCCUUCCGAGGCAUGUGCACGCCCUGCUCAUCCACUCUACACCUGUGCACUUACUGUAGGUCGGCGUGGGUUUCUAACCUCCGGGUUGGGAAGCAUUCUGCUGGCCUAUGUCUAUUACAAACCCUUUAAAGUAUCAGAAUGUAAACGCGUCUAACGCAUCUUAAUACAACUUUCAGCAACGGAUCUCUUGGCUCUCGCAUCGAUGAAGAACGCAGC
Molecule: unclassified non-coding RNA, 315 nt
Filed under: uncultured fungus
Lineage: Eukaryota; Fungi
Description: partial contains small subunit ribosomal RNA, internal transcribed spacer 1, and 5.8S ribosomal RNA
Rfam family: Eukaryotic small subunit ribosomal RNA (bases 1-73)
Source: RNAcentral